UAUGUAUGGACUUAUCUAACUCUGGGGGAUAUGAUGAACAAGCUAAAGUCCCAAUAAGUCGGCGUGUUCCUUUAAAUAAAUGACAAUAGUAGGCCCGCUCAGGAGGUUAAAUGGUGGCAAUUACAAUGUUGUUGUUUUUAAAUUAGUCUCAUUCUCAGUAUAUGAAUGAAAUAAAACUCCUAAUUUUUAUUGUGUCCAACUGCUGUUUGAAAGUUGUGCUAUAUUUAUUUUGUAUUAGAUUAAUAACACAACAGGAUUAUCAUAACAACACCCCUGACUGAUAUUAUUUAAUUAUUAAAAUGUAACAAAUGUAGUCUAUAAAGAUAACGAAGGUCAUAGAUGAUCAUCAUGUUUUCUUGCAGUGUGCAUGAGACAAGGAUUCAUUCUCUUGCUAUCACAUCAAAAGUAUUUGAUAUGUACGGCUGUAAUCCGGCAAAAAUGUAAAUGCUCCCUGUAGUCGAAGCACCAUCAUAAUUCAAAUGGCAACGUCUAUGACUGUAAUGUGUGAAAGUCAUUCCUUAAAUGUUUGAUGUUUUCACGCUGGGUUAGGAAUGUUUGUUUGUGUGUUCCCAGCUUUAAAAAAAAAAUGAAACAUUACAAUAAAAACAAAUGCAACACA
Molecule: long non-coding RNA, 619 nt
Organism: Sander lucioperca (pikeperch)
Lineage: Eukaryota; Metazoa; Chordata; Actinopteri; Perciformes; Percidae
Exons: 2
Source: RefSeq, a predicted model, not a curated record